UGUAUAAGCUGACGUCUUGCACAGACCUUUUCCCAGCACACAGAAGGCAGAGGCAGGUGUAGCUUUGUGAGUUCAGGGCCAGCCAAGACCACAGAGUAUGAAACUCUAAACGUCUCCAAAAUACAAAACAAAACAACAAAAAACCAAACCGUCUUCUGUUCUCUUUGGCUUCGGUGGCAGAAGCAAGAUGACAAAAGGAACAUCAUCCUUUGGAAAUCGUCGCAAUAAGACGCACAUUCUGUGCCUCCGCUGCUGUGGCUCUAAGGCCUACCACCUUCAGAAGUUGACUUGUGGCAACCGUGGUUGCCCUGCCAAGUGCAACAGACAGGAUAACUGGAGCGCCAAGCUAAGAGAGGAAACGCUACCGGGCUGGGCUGGUGAGGUAUCCAAAGAUUGUCUACCACAGAUUCAGACACGGGUUCCGUGAAGGAACAACACCUAAACCUAAGAGGGCAGCUGUUGCAGCAACCAGUUCUUCUUGAGGAUUCGAUCAGUCAUAAAAUAAAUGUUCUGGUUUAAAAAU
Molecule: long non-coding RNA, 523 nt
Filed under: Rattus norvegicus (Norway rat)
Lineage: Eukaryota; Metazoa; Chordata; Mammalia; Rodentia; Muridae
Description: long non-coding RNA NONRATT001445
Source: RNAcentral